AGUUGACCGUAAGUGACCUGGAAUUGCCCCAAGCCCAACAUUCUAUUCUAGAUGAAUUUCAUCUUAAAUUUUCUAAUUUUGUUGCUCGAUUUCACAAUCCACCUCCUGGCCGAUUAGUAGUUUACGAGAAAAAUCUUUAGGCAGGUCCUAGAUUCCCCAUUUUUUCCUUCAUCUUUAAACUUUUUAGGUUCUAUGGGAUUACUUUCUGUGCUAUAUCCCCAAAUUUAUUUAGAUAUAUCAUAGGGUUUUUUGUUCUUUGCUCUUGGACGGA
RNAcentral lists this long non-coding RNA (271 nucleotides) under Elaeis guineensis (African oil palm). Its description in RNAcentral is "long non-coding RNA (EGUI_LNC003582)". Lineage: Eukaryota; Viridiplantae; Streptophyta; Magnoliopsida; Arecales; Arecaceae. The record is from RNAcentral.